AUACGGAGGGUGCAAGCGUUAUCCGGAAUCAUUGGGUUUAAAGGGUCCGCAGGCGGACUGAUAAGUCAGUGGUGAAAUCCCGUAGCUUAACUACGGAACUGCCAUUGAAACUGUCAGUCUUGAAUUCGGUCGAAGUGGGCGGAAUGUGUCAUGUAGCGGUGAAAUGCAUAGAUAUGACACAGAACACCGAUAGCGAAGGCAGCUCACUAGGCCUGAAUUGACGCUCAGGGACGAAAGCGUGGGGAGCAAACAGGAUUAGAAACCCUAGUAGUCC
Molecule: ribosomal RNA, 274 nt
Filed under: uncultured bacterium
Lineage: Bacteria
Description: partial 16S ribosomal RNA
Rfam family: Bacterial small subunit ribosomal RNA
Source: RNAcentral